GCUCCCUUAGCUCAGUUGGUAAGUAGCAACGCCCUCAUAAGGCGGAGGUCGCUGGUUCAAGCCCAGCAGGGAGCA
This 75-nucleotide transfer RNA is filed under the name Bacteriophage sp. RNAcentral's name for it is "tRNA-Met". It matches the Rfam family "tRNA". Rfam says of the family: Transfer RNA (tRNA) molecules are approximately 80 nucleotides in length. The record is from RNAcentral.